GAUGAAGAACGCAGCGAACUGCGAUAAGUAAUGUGAAUUGCAGAAUUCAGUGAAUCAUCGAGUCUUUGAACGCACAUUGCGCCCCCUGGCAUUCCGGGGGGCAUGCCUGUCCGAGCGUCAUUGCUGCCCUUCAAGCCCGGCUUGUGUGUUGGGUCGUCGUCCCCCCCGGGGGACGGGCCCGAAAGGCAGCGGCGGCACCGCGUCCGGUCCUCGAGCGUAUGGGGCUUUGUCACCCGCUCGAUUAGGGCCGGCCGGGCGCCAGCCGGCGUCUCCAACCUUUUAUUUUACCAGGUUGACCUCGGAUCAGGUAGGGAUACCCGCUGAACUUAAGCAUAUCAAUAACGGAGGA
This 349-nucleotide unclassified non-coding RNA is filed under the name soil metagenome. RNAcentral describes it as "partial contains 5.8S ribosomal RNA, internal transcribed spacer 2, and large subunit ribosomal RNA". The stretch from base 1 to 120 matches the Rfam family "5.8S ribosomal RNA", at positions 35 to 154 of the family's 154-position model. The record is from RNAcentral.